Long non-coding RNA from Apis florea (little honeybee), 260 nucleotides. Lineage: Eukaryota; Metazoa; Arthropoda; Insecta; Hymenoptera; Apidae. The record is from RefSeq and is a predicted model, not a curated record.
UGUGAAAGAAUGAAAGAAUUCUAUGACAAGAAUUAAAGAUUAAAACUUUAUAUAUUUUUUUUAUACUUUACAAUGGAUUGAAAUUAAAAUCUAACCAAACUCAAACUUAAUACUCGCGAAAUGAUUAAAUACAAGGAAAAGGAUAAAGGAUAAAUUUAAAAAAUAAUAAUGAGUAUACCAAUCUCUGAAAUAUAUAUAUAUUUUUUUUAAAAAGAAGAUAAAAUGAGCUGAAGAUAGUGUAAGAGAAGUUAGAAUAGAGA